Molecule: long non-coding RNA, 1730 nt
Filed under: Pogona vitticeps (central bearded dragon)
Lineage: Eukaryota; Metazoa; Chordata; Lepidosauria; Squamata; Agamidae
Description: lncRNA (ENSPVIG00000022506.1)
Source: RNAcentral
ACCGCGCGCCAGCAGCCGCGGAAGAAGGAACCGUCCAAUGGGAAGGCGGGGCUUAUACGUCAGUAGCCCGGAGAAAGGCGGAGGGAGGAGAAAGAGAGAACGCGCGAGAAAAGCGAGCUCGGCGGGCGGGGCGGGACGAGGCGUUUUGCGCAUGUGUACUACAUGCCAAGAACGUUUUAAAGCUGACAAUUAAUGGGCUAAACCGAGGGAGAGGGCGGGAUGGAGUGCAAAUAAGCAGAGCAGACAUAAUCUGAUUACACCAACUGCCUCCCAUGGAGUCGCGAUGAAACCAUAACCAAGAGUGAAAGUUUAGUCUCUUCCUUGGGAAGAAUAGGCUGGUGAUUUUUAGCGUGAUGAUGUCCGACUGCGAAGCAACUCGGGAACCCUAAGGAGCCAUUCGAUUUUUUAAAAAAUCACAUUGUUGCUGAAUCCAGUGCAAAGAAAAUCUAAAUUGUUAUUAAUUUACUGGUUUACACUGGAAGUAUUUAUAGGCUGAGAAUGAAACCACUUUAAAUUGUGAGGCGGAGUGGAAGAAGUAGGAAUGUUAGUUUCUGCAAAACUUUGCAUCGUGAUGGAAGUUCCGAUCAGUUCCCACAUGGCAAUCUGUUUGCGAAUUCAGGCUUGUGGAGUUGCUUCUUGUGGUCAGCUGAGAGAUGAACUGGAUAGAAUUUCCUCUGGGAGUUGUUCAUGGAAAAGCUGGUCUCUGGAAACAGCAUUAGCACAGGAGUAGAAGCAUAGAAAUCUCAAUAUUAAAAUCAGGCUCAUUCUAAAUCUGAGGUUUGUACAACUACACUGUUGUAUAAAAUGAAGAGGCAACACUCCAAUAGACCAAUGGCACUCGAUACAGAUCUUGCAUUCAAUGUUCUUCUUUUUUACUUAAGUGGAAGAAUAACAGUUAAUUUCAGCAAAUCCCUACAGCACUUAAAUAUUCAUGGCCUGAGCAUUCACUACUUGCCUGCUGGCUAUCUUUAAAGCGAAUGUUGUGCCAAACUUGCAACUUCCGUUUCUGCCCAAACCUUUUGGGAAUUGGGCCACCCCUUCUUAAUGUCUGCUUGUAUUUUGCUCCUUUCCUCUCCUCCCCCACUCCCAAGGUUCCUUAAAAAACAAACAGAAAAGCUAUGCCAGAGUUAGAGGAUUUAUUUAUACAUUAUCUACUACCCUGGCUAUCCAACAACCCAGGAUUUAUGUAAUUACACUGAGCUCCUGUUUUUGCAGAAAAACUAUAAAACCUUUCAAAUCAUGGUUACUCAUUGCCCUUGAACCCAGCGGGAGUAUGAGUGUUUAGAAUGCAGAAACAUUGAUUCAAGUGAGCAAUUUAAAUGUAGAACAAUGCCAACUUCGACAGCCAAUGGAACAAAAUGUUAUAUACGGUACAGCAGCAGGUAUCAGAAAAGGACUGCACCCCUUCUGUGUUCACCAGUGGUAUGAAAGGGUGACCCACAAAUUGCAUUGAAUCAUUUAAUAAUGGAGUUAGAAGGGGGCAUUCAGACCAGUCUCCUGGUUAAUGCAAAAAUCCACAUUAAAGUAUAUUGGACAACUACUUCUUGAGGUCAUUGAGUCCAUUGUUGUACUGCUCUGCUUUCUUUAUACUGCACCAAAACCUGGCUUCCUGUAGCCUGAGCCCUUUAUUACAUGUCCUGCACUCUAGGAUGAUUGGAAACAGUUCCUGCCUUUUCUCUCUAUGACAAUCAAAUAUUUGAAGGGUUCUAUCAUAUCACCCCUUAAUCUUU